CUUUUUAAUUGAGGGCUGGUAUGAAGGGUAGAUACUAAUAGGAUUUGUUUUAUUUUAUGAAUUUGAAUUUAAAUUAAAAGUAAAAAUGCUUUUAUAAAUUCUAGGGACGAGAAGACCCUAGAAGCUUAGAAUUUAAGAAUUUUUUAUUGGGGCAAUAUUUGAAGAAAAAGAUUUUUAAAGGAGAACAUUAAAAAAAAAGAAGUUACUCUAGGGAUAACAGCAUAAUUUGAUUAACAAGUUCUUAUUAAUAAUUGGGAUUGUGACCUCGAUGUUGAAUUAAAUUGAAUAUUUGGUGAAGGAGCUUUACAAUUUAGUCUGUUCGACUAUAAAAAUUUUACGUGAUCUGAGU
This 349-nucleotide ribosomal RNA is filed under the name Hutamaia sp. MZSP 73172. Its description in RNAcentral is "partial large subunit ribosomal RNA". The stretch from base 105 to 349 matches the Rfam family "Bacterial large subunit ribosomal RNA", at positions 2078 to 2610 of the family's 2925-position model. Lineage: Eukaryota; Metazoa; Arthropoda; Arachnida; Opiliones; Gonyleptidae. The record is from RNAcentral.